GUAUACAGCCAUGCCACCCUGAACAAGCCUGAUCCCAUCUGAUCUCGGAAGCUAAGCAGGAUCGGGCCCAGUUAGUACUUGAAUGGGAGACCACCUAGGAAGACCACACACUGGAGGCA
This 119-nucleotide ribosomal RNA is filed under the name Pteropus alecto (black flying fox). The record is from RNAcentral. Lineage: Eukaryota; Metazoa; Chordata; Mammalia; Chiroptera; Pteropodidae.